RNAcentral lists this ribosomal RNA (918 nucleotides) under uncultured Nitrososphaerota archaeon. RNAcentral describes it as "bacterial SSU rRNA". It matches the Rfam family "Archaeal small subunit ribosomal RNA", at positions 1 to 921 of the family's 1478-position model. The record is from RNAcentral. Lineage: Archaea; Thermoproteati; Nitrososphaerota.
UUCCGGUUGAUCCUGCCGGACCUGACUGCUAUCGGAUUGAUACUAGGCCAUGCGAGUCAUUGUAGCAAUACAAGGCAUACGGCUCAGUAACGCGUAGUCAACCUACCCUAUGGACGGAAAUAACCUCGGGAAACUGAGAAUAAUAUCCGAUAGAACAUUAUGCCUGGAAUGGUUUAUGUUCCAAAUGAUUUAUCGCCGUAGGAUGGGACUGCGGCCUAUCAGUUUGUUGGUGAGGUAAUGGCCCACCAAGACUAUUACAGGUACGGGCUCUGAGAGGAGUAGCCCGGAGAUGUGUACUGAGACACGGACCCAGGCCCUAUGGGGCGCAGCAGGCGAGAAAACUUUGCAAUGUGCGAAAGCACGACAAGGGUUAAAUCCGGAGUGAUUUCUGCUAAAGAAAUCUUUUUGUUUAGUCCUAGAAACACUAACGAAUAAGGGGUGGGCAAGUUCUGGUGUCAGCCGCCGCGGUAAAACCAGCACCUCAAGUGGUCAGGAUGAUUAUUGGGCCUAAAGCAUCCGUAGCCGGCUCUGUAAGUCCUCGGUUAAAUCUGUACGCUUAACGUACAGGCUGCCGGGAAUACUGCAUAGCUAGGGAGUGGGAGAGGUAGACGGUACUCGGUAGGAAGGGGUAAAAUCCUUUGAUCUAUUGAUGACCACCUGUGGCGAAGGCGGUCUACCAGAACACGUCCGACGGUGAGGGAUGAAAGCUGGGGGAGCAAACCGGAUUAGAUACCCGGGUAGUCCCAGCUGUAAACUAUGCAAACUCAGUGAUGCAUUGGCUUGUGGCCAAUGCAGUGCUGCAGGGAAGCCGUUAAGUUUGCCGCCUGGGAAGUACGUACGCAAGUAUGAAACUUAAAGGAAUUGGCGGGGGAGCACCACAAGGGGUGAAGCCUGCGGUUCAAUUGGAGUCAACGCCGG